This 253-nucleotide ribosomal RNA is filed under the name uncultured bacterium. RNAcentral's name for it is "partial 16S ribosomal RNA". It matches the Rfam family "Bacterial small subunit ribosomal RNA", at positions 524 to 776 of the family's 1533-position model. The record is from RNAcentral.
UACGUAGGGUGCAAGCGUUAUCCGGAAUUAUUGGGCGUAAAGAGCUCGUAAGCGGUUUGUCGCGUCUGCUGUGAAAACCUAAGGCUCAACCUUGGGCUUGCAGUGGGUACGGGCAGACUAGAGUGCGGUAGGGGUGACUGGAAUUCCUGGUGUAGCGGUGGAAUGCGCAGAUAUCAGGAGGAACACCGAUGGCGAAGGCAGGUCUCUGGGCCACUACUGACGCUGAGAAGCGAAAGCGUGGGGAGCGAACAGG